Molecule: ribosomal RNA, 253 nt
Filed under: uncultured bacterium
Lineage: Bacteria
Description: partial 16S ribosomal RNA
Rfam family: Bacterial small subunit ribosomal RNA
Source: RNAcentral
UACGUAGGGUGCAAGCGUUAAUCGGAAUUACUGGGCGUAAAGCGUGCGCAGGCGGUUAUGUAAGACAGGUGUGAAAUCCCAGGGCUUAACCUUGGAACUGCAUUUGUGACUGCAUAGCUAGAGUACGGUAGAGGGGGAUGGAAUUCCGCGUGUAGCAGCGAAAUGCGUAGAUAUGCGGAGGAACACCGAUGGCGAAGGCAAUCCCCUGGACCUGUACUGACGCUCAUGCACGAAAGCGUGGGGAGCAAACAGG